Monodelphis domestica (gray short-tailed opossum) is the source of this 966-nucleotide long non-coding RNA. Lineage: Eukaryota; Metazoa; Chordata; Mammalia; Didelphimorphia; Didelphidae. The record is from Ensembl.
ACACGAUAUAUGCAAAAUUAGUAAAAGGUAGUUGGGCAGCUAAGUGGCACAGUGAAUAGAGUUCUGGAUCUGGAGUUAGGAAAACUCAUCUUGUCCACUGUACACCUUUGGUGCAAAGGCAUUAUCAGCUUCUUCACUUUGAAGGAUCAUUGGGAAGAAAAACAGAACUUGGGAAGAGGUUCCUAACUCAGAAAAUAAAGAUAUCAAGUGUACUGUGGCUGUCUUUGCAAAGAACUGCAAGAUUCCUAACCCUGGAGAAAAAUAAUAGCAGGACUUUGGAUACAAAUUUUUUUCUAACCAAAGAAAAAGUUUCAAGUGUAUAUGAACCUCUGGGAAACUCAAUCUGGGCAGUUUUGAAUAGACAGUUUGUUUCUUUGAUCCAAAAGGAAAGAGAGAGGAGAUAUCUCACUAGAAGUACCACAUACAUAGGAGCACAAGAGCCAAGAGAUACUGAACUCACAAUUCAUGAUAGUCGAGAGAUGGAUACAGGAACUAGAAAGAUAUUUCUACUUCUGAACAAAAGUUCUGUGGACUGGGGAACAAACAUUGCAACUACUCUGGAAAGAGAAAUGUUCAAUAAUAUUACAUUGGAUCCAAAACACAUUCCCCAAAAUGGCAGGCUCUGAAUCAUUUAUCAGCACUCAUCAUGGUAUGCCAAGUUUGAUGUCAAGAAGAUACCUUCCCUAGCUCUAUCUCCCAAGGCAUGUCACUUAACCCCCUACCUAUUCAGUUUCUUCAUCUGAAAAAUGUUUAUAGUCUAUCUCUCAAAAGGGUUGUUGUAUCAAAUAAUCACUCUGGAAAUUUAAUCUGUGCUUGUAACUCAUUCCCUAUCAUUUAGUUCCACUCAGAGCUUCAGUUUUAAGAAAGAAUCCAGGCCAACUAUGUCCUUGUGCCUCUUCAGCCACCCCCGACCUUUUCUUUUUUGCCUUCCCCCACUGGAAAAUAAAUUUCUUAAGGACAGAGACA